This 376-nucleotide ribosomal RNA is filed under the name Laomedia astacina. Its description in RNAcentral is "partial 16S large subunit ribosomal RNA". It matches the Rfam family "Archaeal large subunit ribosomal RNA", at positions 2025 to 2666 of the family's 2987-position model. Lineage: Eukaryota; Metazoa; Arthropoda; Malacostraca; Decapoda; Laomediidae. The record is from RNAcentral.
GUGCGAAGGUAGCAUAAUCAUUAGUCUUUUAAUAGGGGUCUGGUAUGAAUGGUCGCACGAGAAUUUAACUGUCUUUAUUUUAAAAAUUGAACUUAACUUUAAAGUUAAAAGGCUUUAAUGUACUAGGGGGACGAUAAGACCCUAUAAAGCAUUGUGCUGGGGCGGCAUGGAUAUAAAAGUAACUGUUUAAACUUAUAACACUUAUAUGUGAACUGAUCCUUAUUAGAGAUUAAAAGAUAAAGUUACUUUAGGGAUAACAGCGUAAUCUUUCUUGAGAGUCCAAAUCGAGAGAAAGGGUUGCGACCUCGAUGUUGAAUUAAAAUUCCUUUCUAGUGCAGAAGCUAGAAUAGGAGGUCUGUUCGACCUUUAAAAUUUU